This 274-nucleotide ribosomal RNA is filed under the name uncultured bacterium. RNAcentral's name for it is "partial 16S ribosomal RNA". It matches the Rfam family "Bacterial small subunit ribosomal RNA", at positions 523 to 796 of the family's 1533-position model. The record is from RNAcentral.
AUACAGAGGGUGCGAGCGUUAAUCGGAAUUACUGGGCGUAAAGCGCACGUAGGCGGUUCGGCAAGUCGGGUGUGAAAUCCCCGGGCUCGACCUGGGAAUUGCGUCCGAAACUGCCGGGCUAGAGUGUGGUAGAGGGAAGCGGAAUUCCGCAUGUAGCGGUGAAAUGCGUAGAUAUGCGGAGGAACACCAGUGGCGAAGGCGGCUUCCUGGACCAACACUGACGCUGAGGUGCGAAAGCGUGGGGAGCAAACAGGAUUAGAAACCCUAGUAGUCC